UGUUUGAUGUUCUAACGUGGACCCGUGAUCCGGGUUGCGGACAGUGUCUGGUGGGUAGUUUGACUGGGGCGGUCUCCUCCUAAAGAGUAACGGAGGAGCACGAAGGUUGGCUAAUCCUGGUCGGACAUCAGGAGGUUAGUGCAAUGGCAUAAGCCAGCUUGACUGCGAGCGUGACGGCGCGAGCAGGUGCGAAAGCAGGUCAUAGUGAUCCGGUGGUUCUGAAUGGAAGGGCCAUCGCUCAACGGAUAAAAGGUACUCCGGGGAUAACAGGCUGAUACCGCCCAAGAGUUCAUAUCGACGGCGGUGUUUGGCACCUCGAUGUCGGCUCAUCACAUCCUGGGGCUGAAGUAGGUCCCAAGGGUAUGGCUGUUCGCCAUUUAAAGUGGUACGCGAGCUGGGUUUAGAACGUCGUGAGACAGUUCGGUCCCUAUCUGCCGUGGGCGCUGGAGAACUG
RNAcentral lists this ribosomal RNA (454 nucleotides) under Shigella sonnei. Its description in RNAcentral is "partial 23S ribosomal RNA". It matches the Rfam family "Bacterial large subunit ribosomal RNA", at positions 2211 to 2664 of the family's 2925-position model. The record is from RNAcentral. Lineage: Bacteria; Pseudomonadati; Pseudomonadota; Gammaproteobacteria; Enterobacterales; Enterobacteriaceae. RNAcentral also lists the same sequence under 1 other name.